UCAUCUACAAGAUAGUUUUAGUGUGACUAGCUAUAUAUUGGACCAUCCGGUUUGAAUAUUUUUCAAAUUUUUAAUAUAUCUAUUUUGAUCUUGCUAAUGAUUUAGAGUCACAGGAAUUGCAUAAACACAUGUUAGUAAGUAAACGUGCAAGCCAACAUGACUAUUGUUAUGGAAAUAACCUGCCAACUGGAGCAACUCUUUUUUUUAAGAUGCAUUCAGAUCGACUCAAUAAAAUCGCAUC
RNAcentral lists this long non-coding RNA (241 nucleotides) under Elaeis guineensis (African oil palm). Its description in RNAcentral is "long non-coding RNA (EGUI_LNC030374)". The record is from RNAcentral. Lineage: Eukaryota; Viridiplantae; Streptophyta; Magnoliopsida; Arecales; Arecaceae.